RNAcentral lists this ribosomal RNA (2904 nucleotides) under Escherichia coli. RNAcentral's name for it is "23S ribosomal RNA". It matches the Rfam family "Bacterial large subunit ribosomal RNA". The record is from RNAcentral. Lineage: Bacteria; Pseudomonadati; Pseudomonadota; Gammaproteobacteria; Enterobacterales; Enterobacteriaceae.
GGUUAAGCGACUAAGCGUACACGGUGGAUGCCCUGGCAGUCAGAGGCGAUGAAGGACGUGCUAAUCUGCGAUAAGCGUCGGUAAGGUGAUAUGAACCGUUAUAACCGGCGAUUUCCGAAUGGGGAAACCCAGUGUGAUUCGUCACACUAUCAUUAACUGAAUCCAUAGGUUAAUGAGGCGAACCGGGGGAACUGAAACAUCUAAGUACCCCGAGGAAAAGAAAUCAACCGAGAUUCCCCCAGUAGCGGCGAGCGAACGGGGAGGAGCCCAGAGCCUGAAUCAGUGUGUGUGUUAGUGGAAGCGUCUGGAAAGGCGCGCGAUACAGGGUGACAGCCCCGUACACAAAAAUGCACAUGCUGUGAGCUCGAUGAGUAGGGCGGGACACGUGGUAUCCUGUCUGAAUAUGGGGGGACCAUCCUCCAAGGCUAAAUACUCCUGACUGACCGAUAGUGAACCAGUACCGUGAGGGAAAGGCGAAAAGAACCCCGGCGAGGGGAGUGAAAAAGAACCUGAAACCGUGUACGUACAAGCAGUGGGAGCCUCUUAAUGGGGUGACUGCGUACCUUUUGUAUAAUGGGUCAGCGACUUAUAUUCUGUAGCAAGGUUAACCGAAUAGGGGAGCCGAAGGGAAACCGAGUCUUAACUGGGCGUUAAGUUGCAGGGUAUAGACCCGAAACCCGGUGAUCUAGCCAUGGGCAGGUUGAAGGUUGGGUAACACUAACUGGAGGACCGAACCGACUAAUGUUGAAAAAUUAGCGGAUGACUUGUGGCUGGGGGUGAAAGGCCAAUCAAACCGGGAGAUAGCUGGUUCUCCCCGAAAGCUAUUUAGGUAGCGCCUCGUGAAUUCAUCUCCGGGGGUAGAGCACUGUUUCGGCAAGGGGGUCAUCCCGACUUACCAACCCGAUGCAAACUGCGAAUACCGGAGAAUGUUAUCACGGGAGACACACGGCGGGUGCUAACGUCCGUCGUGAAGAGGGAAACAACCCAGACCGCCAGCUAAGGUCCCAAAGUCAUGGUUAAGUGGGAAACGAUGUGGGAAGGCCCAGACAGCCAGGAUGUUGGCUUAGAAGCAGCCAUCAUUUAAAGAAAGCGUAAUAGCUCACUGGUCGAGUCGGCCUGCGCGGAAGAUGUAACGGGGCUAAACCAUGCACCGAAGCUGCGGCAGCGACACUAUGUGUUGUUGGGUAGGGGAGCGUUCUGUAAGCCUGUGAAGGUGGCCUGUGAGGGUUGCUGGAGGUAUCAGAAGUGCGAAUGCUGACAUAAGUAACGAUAAAGCGGGUGAAAAGCCCGCUCGCCGGAAGACCAAGGGUUCCUGUCCAACGUUAAUCGGGGCAGGGUGAGUCGACCCCUAAGGCGAGGCCGAAAGGCGUAGUCGAUGGGAAACAGGUUAAUAUUCCUGUACUUGGUGUUACUGCGAAGGGGGGACGGAGAAGGCUAUGUUGGCCGGGCGACGGUUGUCCCGGUUUAAGCGUGUAGGCUGGUUUUCCAGGCAAAUCCGGAAAACCAAGGCUGAGGCGUGAUGACGAGGCACUACGGUGCUGAAGUGACAAAUGCCCUGCUUCCAGGAAAAGCCUCUAAGCAUCAGGUAACAUCAAAUCGUACCCCAAACCGACACAGGUGGUCAGGUAGAGAAUACCAAGGCGCUUGAGAGAACUCGGGUGAAGGAACUAGGCAAAAUGGUGCCGUAACUUCGGGAGAAGGCACGCUGAUAUGUAGGUGAAGCGACUUGCUCGUGGAGCUGAAAUCAGUCGAAGAUACCAGCUGGCUGCAACUGUUUAUUAAAAACACAGCACUGUGCAAACACGAAAGUGGACGUAUACGGUGUGACGCCUGCCCGGUGCCGGAAGGUUAAUUGAUGGGGUUAGCGGUAACGCGAAGCUCUUGAUCGAAGCCCCGGUAAACGGCGGCCGUAACUAUAACGGUCCUAAGGUAGCGAAAUUCCUUGUCGGGUAAGUUCCGACCUGCACGAAUGGCGUAAUGAUGGCCAGGCUGUCUCCACCCGAGACUCAGUGAAAUUGAACUCGCUGUGAAGAUGCAGUGUACCCGCGGCAAGACGGAAAGACCCCGUGAACCUUUACUAUAGCUUGACACUGAACAUUGAGCCUUGAUGUGUAGGAUAGGUGGGAGGCUUUGAAGUGUGGACGCCAGUCUGCAUGGAGCCGACCUUGAAAUACCACCCUUUAAUGUUUGAUGUUCUAACGUUGGCCCCUAAUCGGGGUUGCGGACAGUGUCUGGUGGGUAGUUUGACUGGGGCGGUCUCCUCCUAAAGAGUAACGGAGGAGCACGAAGGUUGGCUAAUCCUGGUCGGACAUCAGGAGGUUAGUGCAAUGGCAUAAGCCAGCUUGACUGCGAGCGUGACGGCGCGAGCAGGUGCGAAAGCAGGUCAUAGUGAUCCGGUGGUUCUGAAUGGAAGGGCCAUCGCUCAACGGAUAAAAGGUACUCCGGGGAUAACAGGCUGAUACCGCCCAAGAGUUCAUAUCGACGGCGGUGUUUGGCACCUCGAUGUCGGCUCAUCACAUCCUGGGGCUGAAGUAGGUCCCAAGGGUAUGGCUGUUCGCCAUUUAAAGUGGUACGCGAGCUGGGUUUAGAACGUCGUGAGACAGUUCGGUCCCUAUCUGCCGUGGGCGCUGGAGAACUGAGGGGGGCUGCUCCUAGUACGAGAGGACCGGAGUGGACGUAUCACUGGUGUUCGGGUUGUCAUGCCAAUGGCACUGCCCGGUAGCUAAAUGCGGAAGAGAUAAGUGCUGAAAGCAUCUAAGCACGAAACUUGCCCCGAGAUGAGUUCUCCCUGAGACUUAGAGUCUCCUGAAGGAACGUUGAAGACGACGACGUUGAUAGGCCGGGUGUGUAAGCGCAGCGAUGCGUUGAGCUAACCGGUACUAAUGAACCGUGAGGCUUAACCUU